CUUCUAGUGAGAGACAUGGUCUCCACCUGCUCUAAAACUUAAAAUUUCCUCCGUUAGAGAGGUUAAGAGACUAUCUGUCUCAUAUCAAGUGGAAGAAUCCAGGGAAAGAGCACUGAUACUGAUUGGUACACAUGGGAUCAGAUGCCCAUCCCUGACUAACCAAUAAAGUCUGGCUGAAUGAAAGGUUAGGUGUGACAUUUUCUAGAAGGAAAGGACUGAUCUUCAUGAUUGGCAGAACAAUACAUUUUCAGUAUGAGAUCCAAAAUAUGACUACAAAUUUUUAUCCCAUAGAUAGGUUAGUUAAGUUUUUUUCUACUAGUUUCCUUCACUGAGUUAAUGUGUGAGACUACCAAAGGAAUUUUAAUAUGUUCCAUUAAUCUGUCUUAUUGGUUCUUUAUGAACCCUACCAGCUGUCCAUACUCUCAAUCAUUGUUAUUCCAAAGAUGUAGUGAUGAAUAAAGACAGUCUCAUAAUUCUCCAAGCUAUGUUUCCUCAUAUUAAUUUGCUCCCAUGUGGCAUUACGUGUCAGGGCAAGCUCAGUUCCCGCCAAGGAAAAUCUAUAGGAAUCCCAGACCCAGAGUCCUAAGUCCUCAACUAUUAUUUCAAAGAAACUCCUUUUCAUGCCCACUCCAAAGCCUGCCCCAUGAUGGCUGACAGAAUUCUUUCAGAGGAAUUCUCAUCCACACCCACAGGUAUGGUUGAAUCUCCAUUACUCAGACAAGAAGAUGGAAAUACUGAAUAUUAUACUUCUAAAAGUCUGUGUUAUUUAUUCAUAAAUAACACUAUGUGGUUAACAUGAAUGGAUAUGUAGGACAUCUUUCUCUUGUUCUAGCAGGGCACAGUCAGGGUAAAGAUGAAUUCAGUUUACAUUGUUUAAACAUUACACAUCAGAAUCUUCAACACUAACAUUCAUAUUUAUCGUGACUUCACAGAUUUCCUCAUGAUGAUUCUCUCAAAAUAUGUCUUAUUCUUAAGAACAGCAACUGAUGGAACCCCCCUGUGCUAGUUUUAUAAAAUUAACAAGGCCAAAUUAAGUUUUUCUUCACCAGGCAUAUCAAUGAGGAUGGAUAAUGCAGCAGACAAUCUGGCUUUAAGUUUCAGAAGUCUUAAUCUAGUUGGACACAGGUUCCAAAUAAUAGCAUUGUGAGAAAAGAUGAAGAGCCAGGCUGUCCAUAUCAAAAGAUUCUCCAGAAUGGAAGAGAGGAAGAAUUGGAAGUAGUAAGAACUUCAUCUGUCAAUGUGUAACCUUAAGAAAAGGCUGUGUGCUUUUUCCACUAACUGAGCCCUGGUUUGGGUUUCGGAAGAGAGAAAAUAACAGGUAAUUCAGUUAGGUUUAUAGAAUUUUAAAGAAGAGACAACUUGUGUCCCAUUCCCAGUUAGAGGAUUUGAAAGUUUCCCUCAUUCCUGAAGCAGGCUGGGAGAAGUAGGAUAGACAUAUUCAUAUAGUAAUAAAGGAUCAAAUCUAAGAAGUUAUUUGGAUAUUACAUUUUUCUAGUAAGAAGUUUCAUUUCAUAUGUGCAACAUAAUUCCAUUGCUUUAAAUGUGAUGGAAAUAAUAAAUAUAAAAGAAUAUCAUUCCCCACUCCCAGAACUGGUAAAAGAAGUCUAUAAUGAAACAUGCUGAAAUGUUAACAGUGACUAUCUCUGGUUGGUGGGAUUAUGAAUGACUGUCAUUUUCAUCUUUAUACUGCUCUGAAUUUUGAAAAAUUUCCAUAAUAAAAGGGCUUUUUCAGUUUGGUUUGCCAUUACUCAUCCUUUAGUUUAUGUUUCAUCUCCCUGAUUUACAAACUCAUUAGUUGGGCAUUAUGUCCCUAUUUGAUACUCCUUUAAUAUUUUGGACAGCUCAUUGUCUUAUCUCCAGAGUACACUGAAAUAAUCACCUGUUUCUGAUUCUAGAGAUUUGGAGAUCCUAUCUUACUUAUCUUUGUACCAUCACAGAGUAAAAAAUCUGUGCUUAAUCUUUGUUAAAUCAACUAAUAAAAAAGGUCUACAUAAGAUUAUUUUAUGCUUUGCCCAAGUUACAGUUUCAGAUAAGAUUUUCUCUCUGUUAGGAAAAAAGCCCUUUACAUAAAUAAUACGUAAACACAUGUGAAUUGUGGUACAAUCUGAAAAUUACAGCAAAAUGUAAAAAAAUUCAGAUUCUUAGGUAAUAUAAGACCAUGUAAAAUGCAUCUGAAAACUCUUUGUUCACUAAUAGUUCGGUUGCUUAUGAUGAAGGUGAGAAAUUGCUAUAGGUACAUUUUGAUUUUUUUCUUAUAUUUUUCCCAUAUGACAUUUGCCAUCUUUCUUUGACAGGCAGAGUGCAAAGUCAAUAAUAAACACAAACAUUUUUCUUGUUUGUCAUCAUUUGAGAAUGUAUACUAAAAUUUACACAUAGAACACUGUGAAUAAUGCUUAUUUUAGUAUAAUUUUUCAUAACUUGGGAUAGAAAAGGACACGUUAAGGAUUAGUUACAAGAUUAACUCUGUAAGUGUGAUAUUGAUUAUUUUCAAGUUAGGAAUAGAAAUGACACAUUGCGGACCAUUUAACAAAGACAGUGAUAAUUAGGCUUAAAGGCUGAUAAUUGGAGAAGUAAUAAGUUGAGGCAUGCAUAUAUUUCUUGUUUAUAUAACAAGCAAAGGAAAAUUAGAUCUUUCCAUAAAAACAAGUCCCCUAAGGAUUUUAAAUCUCUGUAGUAAAGGUGAGAAAAAUGCUAUUAAAAGUUAGUCAUUUUGUUUUCUGGCCUACCUCUGAUUUUUGCAGAAUUUUUAAAAAUUUAAAUAGCACCUUGCUGAAUGAUGUGAUCUUUGUUCUCUUCUAAAUUAUCUCUUGAGUCCAGGGGCUAUGUCUUAUUAUUUGUUUCUGUAUAGUUGCUAGCACAUGGUAGGUACUCAAAUUUUUAUUGAAUUGAGUUAAAUUAAAUUAAGAUGCUGCCAUCUAGAACUAGAGAGUAGGCCUUCUAUGAGUUUCCCUGUAGGAGGAAA
This is a non-coding RNA of Chlorocebus sabaeus (green monkey), 2962 nucleotides long. The record is from RefSeq and is a predicted model, not a curated record. NCBI's taxonomy places the organism in Eukaryota, Metazoa, Chordata, Mammalia, Primates, Cercopithecidae.